Piliocolobus tephrosceles (Ugandan red Colobus) is the source of this 418-nucleotide RNA transcript. It is a transcript of the gene named NADH dehydrogenase [ubiquinone] 1 alpha subcomplex subunit 1 pseudogene, with no coding region annotated. NCBI's taxonomy places the organism in Eukaryota, Metazoa, Chordata, Mammalia, Primates, Cercopithecidae. The transcript has a single exon. The record is from RefSeq and is a predicted model, not a curated record.
UUUUAGAAAUUGGGCGAUCCCGGUCACCUUUCUAGGACCCAGAAGUAGGGUUUUGGCCUAGGUAAUGGGGCAGAGAUGUGGUUCGAGGUUCUCCCCGGACUCGCUGUCAUGGGCGUGUGCUUGUUUAUUCCAGGACUGGCUACUGCGUACAUCCAGAGGUUCACUAACGGGGGCAAGGAAAAAAGGAUUGCUCAUCUUGGGUAUCACUGGAAACUGACAGAAAGAGAUAGGCGCAUCUCUGGAAUUAAUCGUUACUAUGUGUCAAAGGGUUUGGAGAACAUUGAUUAAGGAAGCAUUUUCCUGAUUGAUGAAAAAAAUAACUCAUUUAUGGCCAUCUACCCCUGGUAGAAGGUUAUACAGUGUAUUAUGUAACAUGCAAUGUGUUAUGUAGUGCUUAAUAAAAAUAAAAUGAAAAAAA